UACGAAGGGGGCUAGCGUUGCUCGGAAUCACUGGGCGUAAAGGGCGCGUAGGCGGACUUUUAAGUCGGGGGUGAAAGCCUGUGGCUCAACCACAGAAUUGCCUUCGAUACUGGGAGUCUUGAGUAUGGUAGAGGUUGGUGGAACUGCGAGUGUAGAGGUGAAAUCCGUAGAUAUUCGCAAGAACACCGGUGGCGAAGGCGGCCAACUGGACCAUUACUGACGCUGAGGCGCGAAAGCGUGGGGAGCAAACAGG
This 253-nucleotide ribosomal RNA is filed under the name uncultured bacterium. RNAcentral's name for it is "partial 16S ribosomal RNA". It matches the Rfam family "Bacterial small subunit ribosomal RNA", at positions 524 to 776 of the family's 1533-position model. The record is from RNAcentral.